This 400-nucleotide ribosomal RNA is filed under the name uncultured bacterium. RNAcentral describes it as "bacterial SSU rRNA". It matches the Rfam family "Bacterial small subunit ribosomal RNA", at positions 355 to 752 of the family's 1533-position model. The record is from RNAcentral.
UAAGGAAUAUUGGACAAUGCCCGCAAGGGUGAUCCAGCCAUGCCGCGUGCAGGAAGACGGCCCUAUGGGUUGUAAACUGCUUUUACACCGGAGAAAACCUCCCCUCGUGAGGGGAGCUGAUAGUAUGGUGAGAAUAAGCAUCGGCUAACUUCGUGCCAGCAGCCGCGGUAAGACGAAGGAUGCAAGCGUUAUCCGGAUUCAUUGGGUUUAAAGGGAGCGUAGGUGGCCUUAUAAGUCAGUGGUGAAAUCUCUGGGCUUAACCCAGAAAUUGCCAUUGAUACUGUAGGGCUUGAGUACAGUUGCUGUGGGCGGAAUAUGACAUGUAGUGGUGAAAUACAUAGAGAUGUCAUAGAACACCGAUUGCGAAGGCAGCUCACAAAACUGUAACUGACACUGAGGC